This 468-nucleotide ribosomal RNA is filed under the name uncultured bacterium. Its description in RNAcentral is "partial 16S ribosomal RNA". It matches the Rfam family "Bacterial small subunit ribosomal RNA", at positions 28 to 507 of the family's 1533-position model. The record is from RNAcentral.
GACGAACGCUGGCGGCGUGCUUAACACAUGCAAGUCGAACGGAAAGGCCCUGCUUUUGUCGGGUGCUCGAGUGGCGAACGGGUGAGUAACACGUGAGUAACCUGCCCUUGACUUUGGGAUAACUUCAGGAAACUGGGGCUAAUACCGGAUAGGAGCUCCUGCUGCAUGGUGGGGGUUGGAAAGUUUCGGCGGUUGGGGAUGGACUCGCGGCUUAUCAGCUUGUUGGUGGGGUAGUGGCUUACCAAGGCUUUGACGGGUAGCCGGCCUGAGAGGGUGACCGGCCACAUUGGGACUGAGAUAGGGCCCAGACUGCUACGGGGGGCAGUGGUGGGGAAUCUUGCACAAUGGGCGGAAGCCUGAUGCAGCAGCGCCGCGUGCGUGAUGACGGCCUGCGGGGUGUAAACCGCUUUCGCCUGUGACGAAGCGUGAGUGACGGUAAUGGGUAAAGAAGCACCGGCUAACUACGUG